Molecule: transfer RNA, 87 nt
Filed under: Bacillota bacterium
Lineage: Bacteria; Bacillati; Bacillota
Description: Firmicutes bacterium (anaerobic digester metagenome) tRNA-Tyr
Rfam family: tRNA
About the family: Transfer RNA (tRNA) molecules are approximately 80 nucleotides in length. Their secondary structure includes four short double-helical elements and three loops (D, anti-codon, and T loops). Further hydrogen bonds mediate the characteristic L-shaped molecular structure. tRNAs have two regions of fundamental functional importance: the anti-codon, which is responsible for specific mRNA codon recognition, and the 3' end, to which the tRNAs corresponding amino acid is attached (by aminoacyl-tRNA synthetases). tRNAs cope with the degeneracy of the genetic code in two manners: having more than one tRNA (with a specific anti-codon) for a particular amino acid; and 'wobble' base-pairing, i.e. permitting non-standard base-pairing at the 3rd anti-codon position.
Source: RNAcentral
GGAGAGGUACCCAAGUCUGGCCAAAGGGGGCAGACUGUAAAUCUGCUGGCGAUGCCUUCGGUGGUUCAAAUCCACCCCUCUCCACCA